Selenomonas ruminantium subsp. lactilytica TAM6421 is the source of this 74-nucleotide non-coding RNA. The record is from Rfam. NCBI's taxonomy places the organism in Bacteria, Bacillati, Bacillota, Negativicutes, Selenomonadales, Selenomonadaceae.
GGGCCUAUAGCUCAGCUGGUUAGAGCGCACGCCUGAUAAGCGUGAGGUCAAUAGUUCAAGUCUAUUUAGGCCCA